UGCAGCUUGGCCGAUGUCUGGGUAUGUCUCGAGUCCCGGCUCGCUGUCAAGGCAACGGCGUAGCAGGAUGCCGGUGUAGCAAGCAAGGAUGGCAAAGAUGAACAGUAUGGACAGCCCGAUCCAACCUCCUUGCUUGACAGCAUAUGGUGUCGAGAGGAUUCCAACACCACAGAGAACAUUAAUUCCAUUAAUGACUGCUUGACCGUAGGAGCACUGGCCCGAUGCGGGCAGCCCAUGGAAGUCCUUGGAAGGCUUUUGUUCCUCUGUUAUCUUCUUCAAGGAUGGACCUCUCGGAGGGAGCAACGAUGAGCGCGAGCUCUGCCUUUGCUGCUGCUCCUCCUUGUGCUGCUCCUCAGAAGCAGUCGUGGGCAAGAUGGGCUUAAGUAGGGAGCUAAUGAUAUCUGGGGUGUGCCGGCCUCUGAAGGAGGACAAGAUGAACGAACUCCCAAGUCUGCUCAGAGUUGGUGUUCCAAGGAAACUAAUGGUCGGAGGUGUAACACUGCUGUACAUAUCAAUGGAUUGCCUGUAACUCUGAGGCCAUGUGGUGUUGUAAGAGCUCGGCCUGCUCCGCCGCGGGCUCCCGCCGGACGAAUCUGAUUCAUCCGAUUCAUCGCCUCCAUUGUUCACGUCCUCUGUGACAUCAUCAUCAUCUUCGCUCUCAAUGAAUAGGCUCCGAUCUGAAACCGAGUUCCUCAUCUCUCACAACCUUCUCUAUGAAUCUUGAACCG
This 728-nucleotide unclassified non-coding RNA is filed under the name Hevea brasiliensis (rubber tree). The record is from RNAcentral. Lineage: Eukaryota; Viridiplantae; Streptophyta; Magnoliopsida; Malpighiales; Euphorbiaceae.